Molecule: ribosomal RNA, 491 nt
Filed under: uncultured bacterium
Lineage: Bacteria
Description: bacterial SSU rRNA
Rfam family: Bacterial small subunit ribosomal RNA
Source: RNAcentral
GCUCUUUCAGGUGGAAAGAAAACGCAUAGGUUAAUACCUUGUGCGGAUGACGGUACCAUCAGAAGAAGCACCGGCUAACUACGUGCCAGCAGCCGCGGUAAUACGUAGGGUGCGAGCGUUAAUCGGAAUUACUGGGCGUAAAGCGUGCGCAGGCGGUUAUGUAAGACAGAUGUGAAAUCCCCGGGCUCAACCUGGGAACUGCGUUUGUGACUGCAUAACUAGAGUACGGCAGAGGGAGGUGGAAUUCCGCGUGUAGCAGUGAAAUGCGUAGAUAUGCGGAGGAACACCGAUGGCGAAGGCAGCCUCCUGGGGCCAGUAACUGACGCUCAUGCACGAAAGCGUGGGGAGCAAACAGGAUUAGAUACCCUGGUAGUCCACGCCCUAAACGAUGUCAACUAGUUGUUCGGUGAGGAGACUCAUUGAGUAACGCAGCUAACGCGUGAAGUUGACCGCUGGGGAGUACGGCCGCAAGGUUAAACUCAAAGGAACUU